Cephus cinctus (wheat stem sawfly) is the source of this 6621-nucleotide long non-coding RNA. RefSeq lists it as uncharacterized. The transcript has 4 exons. NCBI's taxonomy places the organism in Eukaryota, Metazoa, Arthropoda, Insecta, Hymenoptera, Cephidae. The record is from RefSeq and is a predicted model, not a curated record.
GUAUAUGUGAUGUGUGAAUAGAUCGACAAUGCAGGAAGGACCUGGACGUUUCGGGCGCAGUGAAACGUUUCGGGGCUUUGAAUUUCUUGCACUUCCAGUACUUAGUUGACUGUAUUACAGGAUGCUUGAGGAGGUUAUGUAAUUCGGUGGGUUUACAGUUCUUGCGAUAUCACGUGGAGCACCGUGUUGGCUAUGUAUUUCGUGAACUAGUGAUAAAUGGGACUUGGAAAUUCUAUGCGCCAUGAUUUUGUGGAACAAAGCAAAUAAAUUCUCUUUCAAACUUAUUUUAGCCAGUUUAAUUUCACGGUAAAUAAAUCAAGGUAUUAUUUUUCGUCUUUUAGGCCUCGUAUUCUCUGUUUAACGUAAUUGCACGAAUUUUUCAGGAUAAUCAAUAAAUAGUAGAUACCACGUAAUAAUGAGAGGUACGUGUAUGUCGAACGUCUCGAAUAACAUGAAUCGAGCGAUUAUACAGUUGUUUUAUUCCUAUUAAAUUUAAUUCACUUAAACCGAACGCUUUGUAGCACCGUAUAACGUUUUCAUAAAUUUUGAACAAUCUUUUGACCGCUUUACAAAUUCUACUAUCAGUGUCGAAAAUUAUUGUAUCUUUUGUCAUGUGAAUAAACGUAAUGUGUACUAACAAGAAAAAUUAGGUUUUGGACUUUCAGAUUUUUCAAUGUAUCUCAAAAAUUAUGCAAGCUUGGAUUAAACUUUAAAUGGACGGUAAAUUUGUUUUUGAGUUGCCUAUAAAAAGUUCUUAUUAGUUUAUCCCUGUUUGCAAAAAUACACCAUCCAUCCUCUUCAUCACUGUUUCAGAAAAGAUUUUUUUUCCUAACAUCAUAACAUGGAUAGCAUUACUUAUUUCACAUAUAGUUCCGUAUCUAUUACUUAUGCAUGGAACACUAUGAACCUCGUUUCGCACGUUGUAUACAUUUAAUUAUGCUUAUAAUUAAAAAUCAAUGUUCACCAUUUACUUAUCACGUUUUUCAUAAGAACUGGCUGGCUGCAAGCUUUUUUUGGUUAUAACCCGUUGGGACUGACCUAAAGACAAGUCACGCAACUACGUAUUAAAAAGACAUAUAUCUUCAGUCGAACUAUAAAAACGUUCGAUCAAUUUAAUAAGAAGGUUUCGCACAUUCCCUGGUAAAAUAACAUUCACGCGUUUAUGUGCUAUGAAAAUAUUAAGUACUAUGAACUAGUAAGCAGUAGUAAUCGUCAAAAGUAUGGGCUUUGGAUUUUAAAUAAAUUUUUCUGAAAUGUCUAUUAUAAUUAUUUUACAAAUAUUAUAAUAAAUUAUUCUAAUAUACCAGAGGUCACUUAUCUUAUUCAGCAUAUUCAUAAAAUCCUUAUAAAUCUCGAACUGACUAUCCAAUUCAUCCGUAUUGGAGGAUUACAAAUUACAGUUACUCCAUUUCAGAUAUUACGUAUUUGUAAAACCACGAAACAUUAUCAACUGGAAUGUCACUGAUGACGAGAUAAUACAUUUCAUAAAUAACCGUUGAUUAAUUGACGUUGAUUUCUGCGAAUUGCCAUAAUCUGACAAUCGAUAACCUUACACGUAAAAUUUCGUAAUGACGAAUCGGUACGAAAGGCGUGCGCACAUGCGCAUACAUGAUAUGUUCAUUUUCAAGAUUUUCAAUGUACAGUGUAAGUCUCUCACAAUUUACAUAAUGCAGAGACAUGUAAGCUAAGCGAAAUACCAGUCAGGUACUCAGAACAGCUGUGACAGUUCCCCUUCUCUCGUACCCGUGACCAAUGACAAUGCCCAGCUGUCCCCACUCUCGGCCUUCGACGAGCUAGAAGAAUGUUGGCUGUAAAGGACUCUACCUUACCGACAGCGCCAAGUAUCCUUAGCGCUGUCACUUAUUGUAUUCAAAUUUGUAUGAUACUUAAAUACUUACAAUUGAAGCAUUUUUCGAGUCACGUGUGUAACAUGCAUCCACAUGCAUGACAAUAUUAAAGUAAUAAUAUGUUACGUAAAUAUAUUCUCAAAUGUGUUUCUUUAAGUAUUGUGUAAUUCUGCGACCUUUAUUUCUGCUCCUAGGGAAAUUGCUAAUGAAGAAGCAAACUUGGUAGGUUACGUUGUUCUUUGAAUUUUUCAUUUUACUCUUUGAGGUUAAAUCGUACUCACGGGUAUGUUAUGAGUUUAAUUUACUGUGAUUACGGAAUAAAGUUUACACCACCGUAUCGCGCCAUGAUCGAGGACAAAUCCGAGGGGCGGAUUAUUUUUUUACAGUCAUGCAAACUGUGACACGCAAGUGAAUCUCUUCAGUAAUGAAAUCAGACGUGGAAGAGCUGCGUGUCGACUAAACGCUUUCCCGCGGAAGUUGUAGGAUUUCAAUUACUAUCGCUAUCAGGUAAAGUACCUGCUAGUUACUUCGAUAGGGUGUAAAUUUCAUUUUCAAGACUUUUUACCAAAUUAUCUAGGAAAUAUGUAGAGAUAAGGAUGUGCAUUGAUAUUAUAAUUAUUUUUCGACCUAUUUAAUCGGUACAAUUACUAUAAUUAAUAUUUGUGAUGAUUAUUCGUUUUUUAAUACAUGUAAAUAUAUAUUGGUUAAAUUAUCAAUAACUGCUUUUUUUCUCUUCGAUUGUUAUUCGACAAGAUCGGAUCAUGACGUUGACGAUUCUUCAGAUUUGUAAUUUAUUAAUCGGCACGUUUUGUGAUUUGUCGAAUUUAAACCAAACAAGCUGGAAAUCAUAUUGACUUUAAUCAUUAGAGAUUACAGUCCUGAAAUUUUACGAUAAAAGAUCACGUAGUAUUCGAGCAAUUUUUUUGAAAUAAUAUUUUCAUAAAAAUAUUUUCAUUUAAAUGUUGGUCGAAUUAUUUUAAACGUUUUAUUAAUUUUUCACAAUAAUUACUAAUAUGCAAUUAUGGGAUGUGUACGCAAAUUAACGGACAAUGCUGUUUCGUUUUUUUCUUCGAUUAAUUAUCUUCGGCCGUUAAAUUUAUAGGAGGUUGUUCAGGUUAAUCGUACCCAUUCGAGUUAAAGCGUUUGAUUGAUUCGCGCAAUUUGAUUAAUUGAUAAAUUGGAUUUGGUGCUAUUCCCAUAGGAAAACUUGCCAUUGCUAAUGCUCUUUCGCGAAAGGUAAUGAAUGGCUUUCCAUAUAUUUUCAUUGAUACAAAACACAAUAUUUUUGGCAAAAAAUCAUUAGCAGUGUGAAAUUUAACUAAAAGAUAUCUCAGUGCUAUUUCUAAAGUAAAAAUAUCCAACUGUAUUCAAUUAAUCGACAUAAUCAAAAAAUUCAAUUUGUUAAAAAAUCUUUCAAAUGACAAUUCUAAAAUUAUAAUCAAUAAAUAAAAUUUAACAAUUACAAAACACUUAAUGCACAUAAUUGUUACAUAUAUAUCCCUGAGUAUAACAUUUUGACAUUACCCAUCAUAUCGGGUGCUUCUUGGGUAACAGCUAUGUAAAAGUUACAUAAGUAUCAGAAACGUAUUUACUUUGCCGUAAUAAUUCCCAAGUAUGAAAUUCUAACAUUAUCAAUACGCAACUGCUGCUUUGUGUUUACUGUGAUGUGAUAAAAAAAUUAUUCAAUUGAUCCAAGUAAUUCCCAAAUCUACGCUAACGAAUAUUUCAAACGCGGUUAAAGCCUUAUUUCUAUGCACAAAUUUUAACAUACAAGAUAAAUUAUUUCUCCGAUUUUAUCAUCGUAGGAAUGAAAAAGUGCUUGAUAAAAAGUCAGACGACUUAGGGCCGAUGGAAUGGAAGAUAAAAGAUGGAAAGUUAUAUUCAUCAUUCGGUGUUGAAUUUUCCUUCGGGAUAGCUUAUCGGCAUAAAUAAACUUUAACACUGGCGUAAUCAUUCAUAGUACAAAAAAGCGCCGACGACGAGAGCAUUUGCUGGCUUGAUAUACAGUAUUUAUUGGCGCUCGUGUAUACAGGGGUAUAAACAUUUGCUCGUGAGCCGCAAAUACUUUGCCGAGUGAAUAAACGUAGCAAGUUGGCAAAGAGUUUGCGAGGUUUUUGCGAGUGAAACAUUUUAAACACAGCCGUCCUGACUAUUCAGUUUAAUGUUCAUGUGGGUCAGAAAAAUAUGACAAGCAAUUAAAUGAACAUUUUCGUUCCGAUUAAUAUUCGCAUUACGAUACUCUCAUAUAUCACGAAUGGGUUCCAUGAAUUUCUAGAACUAUUACGUACUGUCAAUAACUUCAUAGUGAUUGAUUUUCACAGAUCGGUAUAUUUAUUGCUAUCAAUAUUACCCGGGAGGAAUAAAUAAUAGGCCCAUUGUACGUGAUACGUGCUUGAAAUUUAAAUUUCACUAAACAUACGAUGGUAUUAUCUAUUGAAGGAUGAACACGUCUUGAGUGUAGAUAAAAUAAAUUUAGAAAUAUAUUUUGAAAAAUAUGCCUAGUUAAAUUUUAUGACUUAUAUCUAUUGUUGUUUCUAUUUGAGUGAAUUUUCUGUAAUGUUAUUUUCCUUCGUUCCAGUAAGUGGUUGAACAAUAUUUUUUAACAAAUUUUUUCGUAUCAUAAAGAAAUCUUUGUCCAACCACAAAUGCACGUGACGCUCAAGUUAAGUCGCCUAAAAGAAAUUUUGCUCAAAGUGAAAUUAUCAUUGUCGAAAGUUUCUUCUCUCGCGUAACGACAUUCAGUUAGAUGUAUAGUCGGUUCAAGAAUUCAAUUUUUUUGACAGUUUUAAAGCAACAAAGUUUCUAGCAAGUCCCAAAAUUUAUAUCACAAAGUAUGCGUACACAUGACUUUGAGCUAAACUAUAUACAACUUUUCUUUGUUUAACGCUUUUCUGUGUUUUAAUGUAAAACCAGGUAUGAUUUGAUAAGGAUUGCAUUGUUUGCCAACUGUAAAAAAGAAAAAAUUGUCAACUCCUACAGACCGACUAAUAACUGUGUAAUUUCUUCCGUUGCUCAUAUAUACGUCUACAGUCUCCUGCACUAAAUAUUCCCUUCGCAUAAUCAAUACGUGACGACUUGACUCCUAAAAGCAGAAGUUCAUUGUAUUGAAAAUAAAAUAAAACUCGUUUGAUACUCCUGCAUUGAUUUACUGUCCUACGUAUCUGUAUCCAUCUGGCAAACUCACGACAAAACCCCUUAAGGUUUUUCCUUUGACAAAACCCCUCGAGCUUCUCGAGGGGAAACUGUGCAAGUCACCAGUCGACGUUAUAGGGACUCUAAAGGAGUGUAUUGACUCCUGUGCGUUCAAUUAGUGACACGUGGCAGGGACCGUUACCCAGGGCGAAUCCUGCUGCGUGGCACGUACGAAAUUCGAAUUAGGAAAUAUGUUGACAGAAAAGCACAUAAAGAAUAGUAAUAUCGAUACCUGAUUGCAUGCGUCUUCUUCCAUUAGAGCCAAAGGGUGUGACAGGCAUGUAAUUUUAGUAAGGCAAAUGACGUGAAAGGUACCUCAGUGAAUAAAAGGUUAUGUUCGUCGUGACACAGAUGCGUUAGAAACGCUACGUCUUUGACGUAUGAGUAUUCCUGGCUUCUUGACCCAGAAAGCAUUUUUUUUUCUACAUUUCCCGAGGUCCUAGUCAGGUAGAUUGGAGUAGCGGUAGCCAUUAUCGAGGUAGAGACUAGUCGAUCCCAUUCUGAGCCAAUUAUCUUGUUACAGGGAAUACAGUUCCAUCGAGCCAGCACGGGUAAUUAGAUGACCAAGAAUUUAAUUGCGGCUAGUUUCGGACUGUGCGACAGGUGCAGCUGCGACGUCUACGAAGGUGUUAUAACUUUGGCACUUAAGUAUAGUUAGUAAGUACCGGACUUGACGAUACGACUGCAUGGCUGGCAGCUCCUUCACCGAGAGUUCUCGUCCUCUCAACGGCGCCCGAGGUCGUAAUUAGUUUGUGGCUGGCUUCACCAGGACCGUCAGACGUCACCCUCACCGUGGGGGCUUCCUGGCUUACUGCCUAGUCGUCUAGUCGCCCGGCGGUUCUUAACCAUCUAGUCAUCCAGCUUUCUUUCAGCCUUCGAAUAUUAUAAGCACAUGUAUAACUCGGAGAAAUGCAGCAGCUUCUCUUAUUUUAUUAUUAACGUCGUUUUCUCACUACGAAAAAUUCAUAGACCCCCCGGUUUAUUCUUUUUCUCUUCUCAACUUUUAGUUUCCACCUUCGCGUCACGUGACUCUUGCAUAUCUUCUGAGUUACCGGUCGUCGGGCUUGUCGUUAGGGGCGACAUCUGCAAGUGACAAACACGAGACUCGUAGUUACUUCUGCUACAUAUUUUCCAACUAUUCCAGUUUCACAGUUUGGUGUGUGCGUGUCAUAAUUUUCCAAGGAUUAUCUGAUGAACAAUUUGAACGUGAUUACUAAUGACAUCCAUGCACCCGCAUAUCAGGCGGGCGCCAGCCAAUUCUUUUCUCAUCGGGAACCGAGGAGCCGGUAUGAUCUGGGAGUUGAGGCGGAGGAGUCUGAACUCCGCUAAAACGAGAGCUCUGAUGGAACCUAUCAGAAGAGACGAUAGCUGAAGGGCUGAAGACGAUCCAGUUGCCAGCAGCGGUGAUCACCGAAAACCACUUUUUUUUUUGGACCUCUGGGAAAUUUACUGUACUUCUGGCAUUUCGUCAGAUUUUGCCUCAAAAAAAUUUGUACACUAUCUUCAAAUAUAUAUCUUUCAAGUGGAAAAACAUUUGUCAUUAAUUAUUUUAAUGUGUGGCCAAAAAAGAGCUUUUUUUCGA